Papaver somniferum (opium poppy) is the source of this 1942-nucleotide long non-coding RNA. RefSeq lists it as uncharacterized. The record is from RefSeq and is a predicted model, not a curated record. The transcript is spliced from 2 exons. NCBI's taxonomy places the organism in Eukaryota, Viridiplantae, Streptophyta, Magnoliopsida, Ranunculales, Papaveraceae.
GACCACGAUAUCCGGAGUUCCCAUUCUACUCUUAUUCGCAACCAUCCACAAUAGUUUUCGAAGCUCCACCAACACAGUCUUAGCAACAAAUCGUUGCCUCCCAACAUCAGUAGAAGCUACAAGAGCAGCCGCAACCAUUACCACCUUGAAUCCGGAGAAUAUCUACACCAAGAUCAACCCGGGUGAUCUUUCAUCGAAAACAAAUUCCGAGGGUGUCAGGAUUAAACAAUAUAAAGAUGAGUUUCACCCUCUUCCUCCAUCUCUCAAUCAGAUUGUGAUUAUUAAUUGAUUGUUAAAAAAAUUUUCAAAAAACCAAAUCUGUGUUGAUUAGUUAUUCUUGUUUAAAUUUAUUGCGAGUGUAAUCUUUAAAUCACUUCAUUGAUUUUGAUACCUUUUCGAUUCAUGAUUGGACAACAUUUAGUCUCAAUUUAGUAGAGAAGAGCCGGAACAGUGAGGAAUUGAUGCUCUCACACCAAAUAUUUGUACAAAUUCCACGGAGAAGAGUUUCCCAGUGUUCAAACACUAGCUGUUUGUACAACUCUCUAUCCGCUUAACCCAUGAUCAACGGUUACUUACGUAUUUUAUCUUCCAAUCUUCCGAGCAGCUUUGUUCUUUUCGAUCACCUAAGCCGAGUGAUACUGGAAGCCGCCUCACCCUCCUCCGAUUGCAUCAAGCUACAUCAACAUUGCCUCCCUCUCAUUCUCUUGUACACAACUACGUGGCUAACACAACAAAGAUAAGUUUCUUUCUAUAUCUUAACGGGUCUAUAGCUUUGAUUUAUAAUCAAAUCCUUCAUUCGAUUUAUAAUUGAAAUUCAGAUAUGUGAUCUUCAGUUCGUUAUGAAUUUUGCAGAGUUCUUUAUGAAUUUUACCAAAUUUUUAGGGGUUUACAACUAAGAUUUGAUCAAUGUUUCGAUUCUUAAUGACAAUUAAAUCAAACGUCUAAUUUAUUAUCACUACACAUCAAUUUUGAACUUGACAUACUAUUGAUAUUUCGCAUGAUCUAUACUUACAUCCAUGACUGAAUAUUUUCCCUAGCUGAAAUGAAGCAUUCAAUGAUGAACUGCAAUAACUAAUCAAGGAAAUUUGGUUUCUAUUCCCAGAAUCGGUAACAAAGGUCUAUUGAAUGAAACUUCAACCUGCUGCCUAAUGAGGACUACCAACUGAUGUUUCAAUAAAUUGAAAUCUCAUAGAGAAGCAUCACCUGUCGUCAACACUUGUGAAAGAAUCAAGCUCAAAAAGGAGACUAAGAAUUGCCUGGAAUUGUCGUUCAGGACCACAGAUAGCACACUAAAAUCGUUAACGAAGGAUAAGAGAGGUGUCGGACGUAUAUGAAGAAACAAGAGAAGCAGCUAGAGUCUGUAAAGUUUUUGGGUCGAGUUUUGGUCCAUAAUAUCCGCAUUUACCAACAAGAUAAGUUGCUGUUACGUUCUGUGAAGAUUGUUGAUGCUGUGAUGAUGUAUUAAAAAUGACGGAGGCCUAAAUUGUGGCUGCUGAUGGUGGAGAUCAAUGAGGAUGCUUUCCCAGCGUGGCUACGAGUUGAUUUGUUAAACAUUGACUAUUGUUGCCGCUAGGAGCCUACUGCUCUUUCUUUCUUUGGACUACCAGCUGCUGGACAAGAAUUCUCCACAAAAUACAGGCAAAUUCCUACAAGUCUAAGCUCUCACUUCUUUUUGUUACAUUUUCUUUUAUAUUAUAUCACAAAAUUACAGUUGAGCUUGGCGGGAUUUCAUCCGAGCUUAUUUAAUAUCCACACAUGUUUAAAAACCUUCAUCGUAGCUCUGGUAAAGCAUUAGCAGUCUGGUAACUCCAGCUGCAGUAAGCCUUGAACUACAGAUGUUGUGAGCGGAUGUUGAUUCAUGUAUAGCUCGAUAUAAAGAACCUCAUGCAUAUAUGGUUGAUUAGCAAGGAUAAGUAUUAUUUGUCUUUUAGACUUUUCUGGU